Molecule: long non-coding RNA, 1197 nt
Organism: Ictalurus punctatus (channel catfish)
Lineage: Eukaryota; Metazoa; Chordata; Actinopteri; Siluriformes; Ictaluridae
Source: Ensembl
CAUCAGAACUGGUGAAAAUUUACAUCUGCUAGGGGUUCCAGAAUUGCGUGUGGCAAAAUGGCUCGAUAGCGCCAUCUUCAAAAAUUCACCAAUGUGCGCCUCGCGCUAUAUUUCACCUACGUGUACGAAAUUCGGUAACAAUGUGUACCAUGCAAAUAUGUACAAAAAAAGUCUCUUGAACCCAUUAACCAAAACUGAACAGGAAGUCGGCCAUUUUGAUUUCUCUCUUCAAUUUCUCCAUUUCCUUGUAGUCAUAGCGCCACCCACAGGCAACAGCCAUUUCCAGGCCGCGUAUUUGAACUCCUCCCAGGGAUUCAAUCAGAUCGACAUCGUAUUCCGUCAGUCCGUGGAGGCCUGACAAAUUUCGAUAUGAAAUGAAUCACAUUUUUUAGGCCUCAACUUGCUCAGAAACUCAUGAAACUUUGCACACACCUCAACAGUGAUGAACAUUUACAUCCGAUACAGCUGUUCGAAAUGACUGUGGCAAACCGGUUCAUAUUAAUGCACUCACACCACCCCAUCACUACUGAGUUACUGUUACCACCCUAAAGUCAACUCUCUUCAUAUCAGUAUGUAGCAAGUGUUUAAUAAGUGAGUAAAUCUUUACUGGUGGCGUUUACUCAUGUGCUGUAUAAGGAAAAUUAUUUUACACAUUAAACAGUAUAAGCCUCCGUACAUGGACUGAAAGCUUUUCUGUAUCUCAGGUGAUGAGGAGAACUCAGCUGAGGUAUGGAAGCUGCAUGCUGUAUGGGUACGCAUGCUGCUGCACUCGUUCCUGCUCUGCUGCUCUCUUCUUACUGCCGUUCUGUGUAUUACGAGGAAGAGAGGAGCAGAGAGAGACAAAGACAUUCAGUAUAUCGAGAUUGUCUGAUUCUUCAUCUACUUCACCUUUGAUGUUGAAACUGAGGAUCUUGAAUCUGAUGCUGGAAGUUUGUCCUGUCCGGUUUUUAUGCAGGUGCAGGAACGGUCCUCGUUGGUUUAAAGCUGUUUAGAGAAUAACGUCUAAUGUCUGUAGGACUAUUCGUAGUACUUGAUUCUACGCCGCAUGUCAUUAAGAGAUGAGAAUAAUUUACUCUGUUAUUAACAUGCACACACGUAUUACCAUUUGUGACUAAAAUUAUGUCAUUGAAAAUAAAGAAAUGGAGCUGUCUGGUUAAAUGAAGCUCAGCUUCUUGUGGGAAAACUUCAGAAUUUUUU